Molecule: ribosomal RNA, 658 nt
Filed under: uncultured bacterium
Lineage: Bacteria
Description: bacterial SSU rRNA
Rfam family: Bacterial small subunit ribosomal RNA
Source: RNAcentral
GGGGAUAACAACUGGAAACAGCUGCUAACACCGCAUAAGCGCACGGUACCGCAUGGUACCGAGUGAAAAUCUCCGGAGGUAUACGAUGGGCCCGCGUCUGAUUAGCCAGUUGGUGGGGUAACGGCCUACCAAAGCGACGAUCAGUAGCCGGCCUGAGAGGGUGGACGGCCACAUUGGGACUGAGACACGGCCCAAACUCCUACGGGAGGCAGCAGUGGGGGAUAUUGCACAAUGGGGGAAACCCUGAUGCAGCGACGCCGCGUGAGUGAAGAAGCAAUUCGUUGCGUAAAGCUCUAUCAGCAGGGAAGAAGAAAUGACGGUACCUGAAUAAGAAGCCCCGGCUAACUACGUGCCGGCAGCCGCGGUAAUACGUAGGGGGCAAGCGUUAUCCGGAUUUACUGGGUGUAAAGGGAGCGUAGACGGCAGUGCAAGUCCGAUGUGAAAACCCGGGGCUCAACCCUGGGAGUGCAUUGGAAACUGUACGGCUGGAGUGCAGGAGAGGUAAGCGGAAUUCCUGGUGUAGCGGUGAAAUGCGUAGAUAUCAGGAGGAACACCAGUGGCGAAGGCGGCUUACUGGACUGUAACUGACGUUGAGGCUCGAAAGCGUGGGGAGCAAACAGGAUUAGAUACCCUGGUAGUCCACGCCGUAAACGAUGAA